This 371-nucleotide ribosomal RNA is filed under the name uncultured bacterium. RNAcentral's name for it is "bacterial SSU rRNA". It matches the Rfam family "Bacterial small subunit ribosomal RNA", at positions 29 to 416 of the family's 1533-position model. The record is from RNAcentral.
AAUGAACGUUGGCGGCGUGGAUUAGGCAUGCAAGUCGAGCGGAAAGGCCCGCAAGGGCACUCGGGCGGCGUAAGGGACAGUAAUGUGUAGGUACGUACCCCUGGGUCUAGGAUAGCUGCGGGAAACUGCAAUUAAUACUAGAUGAUGUCUCCGGACCAAAGGUGUGAUUCCACCCAGGGAGCGGCCUACAUCCUAUUAGCUAGUUGGUGAGGUGACGGCUCACCAAGGCGAAGAUGGGUAGCAGGUGUGAGAGCACGACCUGCGUCACUGGGACUGAGACACUGCCCAGACACCUACGGGUGGCUGCAGUCGAGAAUCUUCGGCAAUGGGCGAAAGCCUGACCGAGCGACGCCGCGUGCGGGAUGAAGGCC